Molecule: ribosomal RNA, 1662 nt
Filed under: Staphylococcus aureus
Lineage: Bacteria; Bacillati; Bacillota; Bacilli; Caryophanales; Staphylococcaceae
Description: partial 23S ribosomal RNA
Rfam family: Bacterial large subunit ribosomal RNA
Source: RNAcentral
AGAUUAAGUUAUUAAGGGCGCACGGUGGAUGCCUUGGCACUAGAAGCCGAUGAAGGACGUUACUAACGACGAUAUGCUUUGGGGAGCUGUAAGUAAGCUUUGAUCCAGAGAUUUCCGAAUGGGGAAACCCAGCAUGAGUUAUGUCAUGUUAUCGAUAUGUGAAUACAUAGCAUAUCAGAAGGCACACCCGGAGAACUGAAACAUCUUAGUACCCGGAGGAAGAGAAAGAAAAUUCGAUUCCCUUAGUAGCGGCGAGCGAAACGGGAAGAGCCCAAACCAACAAGCUUGCUUGUUGGGGUUGUAGGACACUCUAUACGGAGUUACAAAGGACGACAUUAGACGAAUCAUCUGGAAAGAUGAAUCAAAGAAGGUAAUAAUCCUGUAGUCGAAAAUGUUGUCUCUCUUGAGUGGAUCCUGAGUACGACGGAGCACGUGAAAUUCCGUCGGAAUCUGGGAGGACCAUCUCCUAAGGCUAAAUACUCUCUAGUGACCGAUAGUGAACCAGUACCGUGAGGGAAAGGUGAAAAGCACCCCGGAAGGGGAGUGAAAUAGAACCUGAAACCGUGUGCUUACAAGUAGUCAGAGCCCGUUAAUGGGUGAUGGCGUGCCUUUUGUAGAAUGAACCGGCGAGUUACGAUUUGAUGCAAGGUUAAGCAGUAAAUGUGGAGCCGUAGCGAAAGCGAGUCUGAAUAGGGCGUUUAGUAUUUGGUCGUAGACCCGAAACCAGGUGAUCUACCCUUGGUCAGGUUGAAGUUCAGGUAACACUGAAUGGAGGACCGAACCGACUUACGUUGAAAAGUGAGCGGAUGAACUGAGGGUAGCGGAGAAAUUCCAAUCGAACCUGGAGAUAGCUGGUUCUCUCCGAAAUAGCUUUAGGGCUAGCCUCAAGUGAUGAUUAUUGGAGGUAGAGCACUGUUUGGACGAGGGGCCCCUCUCGGGUUACCGAAUUCAGACAAACUCCGAAUGCCAAUUAAUUUAACUUGGGAGUCAGAACAUGGGUGAUAAGGUCCGUGUUCGAAAGGGAAACAGCCCAGACCACCAGCUAAGGUCCCAAAAUAUAUGUUAAGUGGAAAAGGAUGUGGCGUUGCCCAGACAACUAGGAUGUUGGCUUAGAAGCAGCCAUCAUUUAAAGAGUGCGUAAUAGCUCACUAGUCGAGUGACACUGCGCCGAAAAUGUACCGGGGCUAAACAUAUUACCGAAGCUGUGGAUUGUCCUUUGGACAAUGGUAGGAGAGCGUUCUAAGGGCGUUGAAGCAUGAUCGUAAGGACAUGUGGAGCGCUUAGAAGUGAGAAUGCCGGUGUGAGUAGCGAAAGACGGGUGAGAAUCCCGUCCACCGAUUGACUAAGGUUUCCAGAGGAAGGCUCGUCCGCUCUGGGUUAGUCGGGUCCUAAGCUGAGGCCGACAGGCGUAGGCGAUGGAUAACAGGUUGAUAUUCCUGUACCACCUAUAAUCGUUUUAAUCGAUGGGGGGACGCAGUAGGAUAGGCGAAGCGUGCGAUUGGAUUGCACGUCUAAGCAGUAAGGCUGAGUAUUAGGCAAAUCCGGUACUCGUUAAGGCUGAGCUGUGAUGGGGAGAAGACAUUGAGUCUUCGAGUCGUUGAUUUCACACUGCCGAGAAAAGCCUCUAGAUAGAAAAUAGGUGCCCGUACCGCAAACCGACAC